Molecule: long non-coding RNA, 1707 nt
Organism: Brassica rapa (field mustard)
Lineage: Eukaryota; Viridiplantae; Streptophyta; Magnoliopsida; Brassicales; Brassicaceae
Source: RefSeq, a predicted model, not a curated record
CGAAUCUCUCUCUCUAUCUCUCUAGUAUCGUGACCUUGUAGAAGCUGAAGCUUGAGGGAUUGGAUGCAGAGAAACGCGAGAGAUGGAGGAGCUUUCGACAUUCUCGAUUGCUUAUCGCUACUCAAACUCCAAUUCUCCCGUUGCAGCUGCUCUCGCUCUUUGUUCGAAAGGCCAAGGAAGAAGGAUUGUAAAAGUAACUAGAAUUCUCUCUGGUUGUUAUGGGCUCUUUUCAUAAUGGGCCGAUUAGUAUAGCUCAGGUUACUGUAAUAAUUGGGUUUUCUCUGGGGUCAAUUAUAUCACUUGUAACAAAACACAAAUACUAAAAUAUAUUUAUACAGACAAUAGUAUUUUACAAUCUUUUUUUUUGAUACAAAUACAGAGUUCAAAAAUAUUUUAAUGAAAUUUUUUUUAUAUUUUUUCGGAAUGUAAAUUACUUUAUAUAAAAACAAAUAUUUAAAAUAUUCUCUUCGAACAAUUAAUGUUAAAUUAAUUAUUAACUAAAUCAAUACAUCUUCAAAAAUCAUUAACUGUUCAAAAAUUGUCAAUUUUAUUUCCAAAAUACCUUACAUAAAUUGUCGAUUUUAUUUUCAAAUAACUUUCAAAAAACAAAAUUUAUGUAUAAUAAGACAUAAUAAUCAUGAAAACCAUUAACACUUUAAAAAAAAAAAAUCCAACAAGACAAGUCAGCAGAUAAGAGCUAAACGAAUAGCAAAUAAGGCCACAACACAUCAUCAGACCGUGACUAAUUGAAAAUAAAAAAAAAAGAAAUAUUUUCAAAAAAGGGAAGGAGACAGACACUGGGACGACCUUUGAAAAAAGCUUUUCCAUCAAUCAAUCAAUCAAUCAUCUCUGAGUCUGAGGAAGAAAGAAAUGAGGCAUAAUUGCUGCCAUCUUUCGUUCGCUUCAACACUCAAGAUCCUCAAUUUCGUCCAAGCUUUCUUCGGUGUUUCCAUCAUCAUCUACUCCAUAUGGAUGCUCGAUCAGUACCACCGUCACGUCCCCGUCAAGCUUUCUUCGGUGUUUUCAACCUCUUUGGACAUUUCUACAGGAACGAGUCUUCUCAUAGAUAAAGCUGUCCCCUUGCCUUUCCUUAAGGGCUCACUGGAUCUGCAUUUCCUAUAUGAAAAACUUUUGAGUAAAGCCCUGUUCGUUUGGUUGCCGCAGAUUAUUGUUCGUUUAGAAGACGCAAGAAGUUGAGAUCGACGCCGACGCUGCCGCAGGAAGCAGAUUUUUGGGUUGUUCGUUUGACAGACGCAGCGGCUAUUUUCAUUUUUUCAGAUUUAUUUUAAUUUUUUUAUAAAAUUGUAUUUAAAUAAAUCAAGUGUAGUUUAAAUAUAUUUACAUCCAUUAAAAUAUUAUGUUUACUUGAUAAUAAUUUUUUGGUCAAUUAUACAAAUGUAAAUUAUACAAAUGUAACAAUUUUUUUUCAUACAUCAUAAGCUAAAUUAGAAACAAAAUAAUAAUUCAAAAUAUUUAUCAUAAACAAAAGCUAAAUAUUACAUCAAGUCUUAAAUAAAUAUCACAUUUAAAUGACAAUCAAAGUUAUAAGCAAAAAAAAAAUUAAAUCAUCAACUAAAACAUUUAAUACGGUAAACGACCUCUACCAUAUUCAUUUGUGAUGUUAUCACGCAAAUCUUCCAUCGCUCUAUCACCUUGAGUUUGAGAGGGUCUGAGCUUGAGAGAGUGAGCUUGAGAAGAUCUGAGUCU